GAGAGUUAAAUAGUACGUGAAAUUGUUGAAAGGGAAACGAUUGAAGUCAGUCAUGCUAGUGAAAAAUCAGUUUGACGGGUUUUGAGUUCAGGAGUAGAGGCAGGGUCAAACCGUUUCUUUUUUGAACUUGGGAUUUGUUAGAUGUACUUUUUCUUUGGCAGGUCAGCGUCGAUUUCGAAGGUUGUAAAAUACUUGGGGGAAAGUAACUCUGCUUCGGGAGAGUAUUAUAGACCCUGGGGGAUGCAGCCUGCGGGAUCGAGGAUUGCAGCAAAUGCCUUUGGCUUGUCGCCUGAUCUCUGGAUGUUACCUCGCUUUUGACAACAUUCUUGCCACUUGUGGGUACUAAUGCCCAUUAGGUUAGAGCGAUCAAAAAUUUUGCUAAGGAUGCUGACGUAAUGGCUUUAAACGA
RNAcentral lists this ribosomal RNA (409 nucleotides) under uncultured Diversispora. Its description in RNAcentral is "partial 28S ribosomal RNA". The record is from RNAcentral. Lineage: Eukaryota; Fungi; Glomeromycota; Glomeromycetes; Diversisporales; Diversisporaceae.